This is a long non-coding RNA of Musa acuminata AAA Group (dessert banana), 753 nucleotides long. RefSeq lists it as uncharacterized. The transcript is spliced from 3 exons. Lineage: Eukaryota; Viridiplantae; Streptophyta; Magnoliopsida; Zingiberales; Musaceae. The record is from RefSeq and is a predicted model, not a curated record.
UCUUCCCCAACACCAAGUAACUUAUGCAACAUGAUUUACCUUGCUUUUGGUUGCAGAUCUAAAGCUUGAUGGUCCAAUUGCAGACGAAGGACCAUUAUAUUGCUCAACUGACCGAUUGGAUCCUGUUCCUCCUGAACAAGAACCAAAAACAGUGGAGACCAUCUCCUGUUUCUGAUCCUAAGCCGGCAGCAAAGGAGCCAACCAUGUGAAAUGUCUUUCCAGAUUGAUUGAGGAGGAGUGGAGAAGAUUGCAACAUCUACGUAGCAUUUGAAGACUACGAUACUUGGAGUACGAUUCCAGUCUGCCUACAACGUCGGACAGGUGGCUACCUUCUCCAGCAUUAAAAGUCGGAGUUGUACCCGAAUCCGUUAGCUGCGGGUGGUAGGUGGAGCGUCCCAUAAGUUGGGUGGCCUACCGGGCGCACCCGCCUCCAGCCACGAAACAGACCCAUUUCAACGGCCGUGAUGGAGCGCAACUAUCUCGGAACGCACAGCAGCCUUGGGUGGGACCCGCGACCCGGAGGUUUUACAUGUGCGGUGGCGUCACAGCCAACCCCACGUGACCACCGGCGCGUCCGAAUCGCCAUCGGUAAGCGUUUGUUUAUUUGGGCCCGCUCUUCCGCGCACUAACUUUUAUCUACCCAUACAUCUACCUGCCUGUUCUCUUGCGGGUCCCACUUCCACCAUGGUUUGCUGAGCUUAAAUAAUAGUCGGCGGCAGCAGAAUUGGAGAACGUUCAUAUGGCCGCCUACUC